Molecule: long non-coding RNA, 16652 nt
Filed under: Capsicum annuum
Lineage: Eukaryota; Viridiplantae; Streptophyta; Magnoliopsida; Solanales; Solanaceae
Description: long non-coding RNA (CANN_LNC003850)
Source: RNAcentral
UGUUUCAGAUUCAUCAAUUCUUUCAAUGACAGCUUCUUCCCUGUUUUGUUCUUUGAGUUCUUCUCCAAGUGGGUGUUCUUUAGGUUUCUCGUCAAUCAUUGGUUCUUCAAGUUUCUCUUUAACAACUAGUUCUUCAGAUUUCUCUUCAACUGGUAGAUUCUCGGGUUCUUCUUCAACUGCUGGUUCUUCAAAUUUUUCAGCUGCCGAUUCGUCAGGCUUUUCUUCAACUGAUGGUUCUUCAUGUUUUUCAUCGAAUGUUGGUUCUUCAACUGUAGAUUCUUCAGAUUUCUCCUCAACUGUUGGUUCCUCAGGUUUUUGGUCAACUACUGGUUCUUGAGGUUUAUCUUCAAUUGCUGGUUCUUCAGGUUUCUUUUCUAGUUCUUCACGUGUCUCUUUAACCACUGGAUCUUCAGGUGUUUCUUUCACCUCUUGUUUUUUGUGUUUCUCCUCAAUUGCUGGUUCUUGGGGUUUCUCUUCAAAUGUUUCUGCAAUUGCCAAUUUCUGAGGUUUCUCCUUUAUUGCUGGUUCUUCAGGUUUAUCCUCAACAAUUGGUUCUUCAAGCUUUUCCUCAACCAUUGGUUCUUCAAUUUUUUCCUCAACCAUUGGUUCUUCAGGUUUUUCCUCAACUCCUGGUUCUUCAGGUUUUUUCUCAACUGCUGGAUAGUCAACAACAUCAUUGUUGGUAUUGCAUGGAGUCUGAGUGUCAGACUUCCCGUUUGAAUCUAUAACUGACAUAUUCUGUAAGAAAAAUUUGAAGUUUCACUUAGUCUUCCAAUAGAUAAACAGAUGUGAAUUGUUGCACAUUCAGAGCUAAUAGUACAGGUAAAACUUGUGAGUACUUGAUCCUCACCUCUUCCAACAAAGUUACCUUUUCAGGCUUCGCUUCAACUUCAACUGCUAGUUUUUCAAGGUUCUUUUCAAUUGCUAGAUCUUUAGUUGUUUCUUCAACUGCUGGUUCUUCAGGUUUCUCUUCAAAUGUUAGUUCUUCAAGUGUUUCUUUCCAUGCUGGUCCUGCAAGUGUUUUUUCAACUACAAGCUCUUCAGAUUUCUCUUCAACUGUUGGUUCUUCAAGUUUCUCCUUGAAAACUGGUUCUUCAGUUUGUUUUUCCACUUCUGGUUCUUCAAGUUUCUCUUCAAUCACUUGUUUUUCAUGUUUUUCUUCAACUUCCAGUUCUUCAGCUGUUGGACAGUCAGCAACACCAUUGUUGGAAUUGCCUGGAAUUUCACUGUCAAUCUUGUCCUUUGAGUCUAUAAUUGACAUAUUCUGCAAGAAAAGUUUAAAAUUAGAUUUAAUAUUCAAUAGAUUGACAUAUGUGAGUGUGUUACACAUAUAAAGCUAUUAGAAUGGAUAAACUGUGACACUGUUUAAUCCUCACCUUCUCUAGGAGAGCUUCCGUUUCUAGUUUCUGCUCUUCAAUUACUGGGUUGUCGUGUUUCUCUUUAACAACUAGCUCUUCAAAGGUCUUUUCAACCAUUGGUUCUUCAGGUUUCUCUUCAAGUGCUAGCUCUCCAAGUGUUUCCUCCCCUGCUAGCUCUUCAUGUGUUUCUUUAGCUGUUGGUUCUUCAAGUUUUUCUUCAACAGUUGGUUCUUGAGGUUUCUCCUCAGCUGGUUUUUCAUAUUUCUCCUUAAUUGCUAGUGUAUCAAGUUUCUCUUCAAUAACUGGUCCUUCAGGUUUUUCUACAACUGCUGGUUCUUCAGGGUCUUUCUCAACUUCUUGAAAGUGAGCAUCAUCAUCGUUAGUAUUGCAUGGAAUUUCACAGUCAGUUUUGUCCUUUGAGUCCGCAACUAGCAAAUUCUGCAAGAAGAAUUAAAAGUUUCACUUAGUCUUUUAGUAGAUAAAGCAGAUGUGAAUCAUUGCACAUACAUAAAUAAUAGGAUGGAUAAACUUAUGACAGUGCUUGACCCUCGCCUUAUCCAAAAGAGUUACCUUUUCAAGUUUCUCCUCUUCAACUGUUGGGUUUUCAGGUUUCUCCUCUUCAACUACUGGUUUGUCAGUUUUUUCUUCAAAUGCUAGUUCAUUAGGUGUUUCUUCCCGUUUUGAUUCCUUGAGUGUUUCUUCAGUUUUUGGUUUUUCAGGUUUCUCUUCAACCAUUGGUUCUUCAAGUUUCUCCUCCACAGUUGUUUUUUCAUGUUUCUCUUCAACUGCCAGAUCUUCAAGUUCUCUCUCAACUGUUGGUUCUUCAGGCUUCUCCAUAACCGCCAAUACUUCAGGCUUCUCUUCAAUUGUUGUUUCUUCAUGUUCUUUUUCAACUACUGGUUCUUGAGAUUUUUCCUUGACUGAUUCAUAGUCAGCAAUAUCAUUGGUGGUAUUGCAUGACAUUACAUAAUCUAUCUUGUCCUUUGAGUCUACAAUUGGAAAAUGCUGCAAGAAAAUUUAAAAGUUUUACUUAGUCUUUCAACAGAUAAACAUAUGUAAAUCCGUUGCACAUAUAAAGCUAAUAUGAUGGAUAAAUUUUGUGACAAUGUUUAAUUCUGACCUUCUCUAGAAGAGCUCCGGUUUCAGGUUUCUCCACUUCAACAACUAGUUCUUUAGGUGUCUUUUCAACCGUUGCUUCUUCAGGUUUCUCUUCAAGUGCUAGUUCUUCAGCUGUUUCCUCCCCCUCUAACUCUUCAGGUGUUUUUUUAGCUGUUCGUUCUUCAGAUUUCUCUUCAGCCGCAGGUUCUUGAGGUUUCUCUUCAAAUGGUAAUUCAAAUUUCUCCUCAACCGAUGGUUCUUCAAAUUUCUCUUGAAUAACUGGUUCUUCAGGUUUUUCUUCAACUGCUGAUUCUUCAAGAUUUUCUUCAACAUUUAAAGAUUGAGCAACAUCAUUACUGGUAUUGCAUGGAAUUUCACUGCCAUUUUUGCUGUUCAAGUCUACAACUAGCAUAUUCUGCAAAAGAGUUUAAUGUUUCACUUAGUCUUUCAAUAAAGAAGCAGACGUGAAUCAUUUCACAUACAUAACUAAUAAUAUGGAUAGCUAAUAAUAUGGAUUAACUUUUAUGACAGAUUUUCCACAAGAGCUACCUUUUCAGGUUUCUCCUCUUCAAGUGAUGGUUUCUCUUCAAAUGAUAGUUCAUUAGGCGUUUCUUCCUGUGUUGGUUUUUCAUGUGCUUCUUCAGUUACUGGUUUUUCAGGUUUCUCCUUAGUUGUUGGUUCUUCGCUUGUCUCCUCAGCUGAUUGUUCUUCAAGCUUCUCUCCUGUUGUUGAUUUUUCUGGUUUCUCUUCAAUUAUCGGUGGUUCAGGUUUUUUCUCAACCGGUGAUUCUUCUGGUUUCUCCAAAACCAUUGAUUCUUCAUGUUUUUUUUCAACUACUGACUCUUCAGUGUUUUCCUCAACUGAUGCAUAGUCAGCAAUAUCGUUGUUGGUAUUGCUUGGAAUUGCAUUGUCUAUCUUGUCCUUUGAGUUUACUUUUGGCAUAUUCUGCAAUGAAGUUUCACGUAGUCUUUCAAUAGAUAAACAAAUGUAAAUUUGUUGCACAUAUAAAAGCUAAUAUGAUGGAUAAAAUUUGUGCCAGUGUUUAAUCCUCACCUUCUCCUGAAGAGCUUCCGCUUCAAGUUCCUCCUCUUCAAUUGCAGGUUUUUCAUCUUUCUCUCCAACAACUAGUUCUUCAGGUUUCUCUUCAAGUGCCAGUUCUUCAGGUGUUUCCUCCUUUGCCAGCUCUUCAGGUGUUUCCUCCUUUGCCAGCUCUUCAGGUGUUUCUUUAGCUGCCGGUUCUUCAGGUUUCUCUUCAACCUCCGGUUCUUGUGGUAUUUCCUCUACUUGUACUUCAGAUUUCUCCUCAAUUGUUGGUUCUUCAGGUUUCUCUCUAACCGCUGCUGCAUUAGGUUUCUCUUCAUUGGCUGGUUCUUCAGGUUUUUCUUCAACUACCGAUUCUUCAGGAUUUUCCUCAAUGUUUGGAAAGGGAGCGACAUCAUUAUUGGUAUUGCAUGGAAUUUCACUGCCAGUUUUGUCAUUCAAGUCCACAACUAGUAUAUUCUGCAAAAGAGUUUAAUGUUUCACUUAGUCUUUCAAUAAAGAAGCAGAUGCGAAUCAUUACAUAUACAUAACUAAUAACAUGGAUAAACUUUAUGACAGUAGUUGACCCUUACCUUUUCCACAAGAGUUACUUUUGCAGGUUUCUCCUCUUCAAGUGCUGGUUUCUCUUCAAAUGAUAGUUCAUUAGGUGUUUCUUCCCGUGUUGGUUCUUCAUGUGCUUCUUCAGUUACUGGUUUUUCAGGUUUCUCCUCAAUUGUUGGUUCUUCGCUUGUCUUCUCAACUGAUGGUUCCUCAUGCUUCUCUCCCGUUGUUGAUUUUUCGGGUUUCUCUUCAGUUGUCGAUGGUUCAGUUUUUUUCUCAACCGCUGGUUCUUUUGGCUUCUCCAAAACCAUUUCCGAUUUCUCUUCAGUUGGUGGUUCUUCAUGGUUUUUUUCAACUACUGGUUCUUCUCUUUUUUCCUCAACUGAUGCAUAGUCAGCAAUAUCGUUGUUGGUAUUGCUUGGAAUUGCAUUGUCUGUCUUGUCCUUUGAGCUUACAAUUGGCAUAUUCUGCUAGAAAAAUAUAAAGUUUCAUGUAGUCUUUCAACAGAGAAACCAAUGUAAAUUUGUUGCACAUAUAAAGCUAACAAAUAUGAUGGAUAGACUUUGCGAGAGUGUUUAAUACUCACCUUCUCCGGAAGAGCUUCCGUUUCAGGUUCCUCUUCAAUUUCUGCUUUUUCAUCUUUCUCUUCAACAACUAGUUCUUCAGGUGUCUCUUCAACCGUUGAUUCUUCAGGUUUCUCUUCAAGUGUUAGUUCUUGAGGUGUUUCCUCCUUUGCUAGCUCUUCAGGUGUUUCUGUAACUGCCGGUUCUUCAGGUUCCUCUUCAGCCACCGGCUGUUGACGUAUCUCCUCUACUUGUACUUCAGAUUUCUCCUCAAUUGUUGGUUCUUCAGGUUUCUCCUUAACCGCUGGUACAUCAGGUUUAUCCUCAUUGACUGGUUCUUCAACUGCUGAUUCUUCUAGAUUUUCCUCAAUGUCUGGAAAGCGAGCAACAUCAUUAUUGGUAUUGCAUGGAAUUUCAUUUCCAGUUUCGUUAUUCGAGUCUACAAUUAGCAUAUUCUGCAAAAAGAAUUUAAUGUUUCAUUUAGCCUUUCAAUAAAGAAGCAUAUGCGAAUAACAGUACAUGCAUAACUAACAAAAUGGAUAAACUUUGUGAUAGUGCUUGAUCCUUACCUUUGCCAAAAGAGUUACCUUUUCAGGUUUCUCCUCUUCAACGGUUGGUUCUUCAUGUUUCUUUUCAAAUGCUAGUUCCUUGGUUGUUUCUUCCGGUGUUGGUUCCAUAGGUGUUUCUUCAGUUACUUGUUUUUCGGGUUUCUCUUCAAUUAUUGGUUCUUCGAUUGUCUUCUCAACUGAUGGUUCUUCAAGAUUUUCUCCCACUGUUGGUUUUUGGGGUUUCUCUUCUAUUGUUGGUUGUUCAGGAAUUUUCUCAACUGGUGGUUCUGCUGGAUAUUCCAAAACCAUUGAUUCUUCAGAUUUCUCUUCAAUUGAUGGUUCUUCAUGGGUUUUUUCAACUACUGGUUCUUCAAUUUUUUCCUCAACAGAUGCAUAGUCAACAAUAUCAUUAUUGGUAUUGCUUGGAAUUGCAUCGUCUGUCAUGUCCUUUGAGUUUACUUUUGGCAUAUUCUGCAAUAGAGUUUCAUGUAAUCUUUCAACAGAUAAACAGAUGUAAAUUUGUUGCACAUAUAAAGCUAAUAUGGUGGAUAAACUUUGUGACAGUGUUUAAUCCUCACCUUCUCCUGAAGAUCUUCCGCUUCAAGUUCCUCCUCUACAAUUGCAGUUUUUUCCUCUUCCCCUUCAACAACUAGUUCUUCAGGUGCCUCUUCAGCCGUUGAUUCUUCAGGUUUCUCUUCAAGUGCUAGUUCUUCAGGUGUUUCCUCCUUUGCCAGCUCUUCAGGUGUUUCUUUAGAUGCCGAUUCUUCAGGUUUCUCUUCAGCCAUCGGUUCUUGAGGUAUUUCCUCUACUUGUACUUCAUAUUUCUCCUCAAUUGUUUGUUCUUCAGGUUUCUCUUCAGGUUUCUCCUUAACCACUGGUACAUCAGGUUUCUCUUGAUUAACUGGUUCUUUGGGUUUUUCUUCAACAGCCGAAUCUUCAGGAUUUUCCUCAAUGUCUUGAAAGCAAGCAAUAUCUUUAGUGGUAUUGCAUGGAAUUUCACUGCCAGUUUUGUUGUUCGAGUCUACAAUUAGCAUAUUCUGCAAAAGGAAUUUGAUGUUUCAUUUAGCCUUUUAAUAAAGAAGCAGAUGUGAAUAACAUUACAUGCAUAACUUACAAAAUGGAUAAAUUUUGUGACAGUCCUUGACCCUUACCUUUUCAGGUUUCUCCUCUUCAACAGCUGAUUCUUCAUGUUUCUCUUCAAAUGCUAGUUCUCUGGGUGUUUCUUCCCGUAGUGCUUCUUCAUGUGCUUCUUCAGUUACUGGUUUUUCAGGUUUCUCCUCAAUUGUUGGUUCUUUGAUUGUCUCCUCAACAGAUGGUUCUUCAAGCUUCUCUCCCGUUGUUGAUUUUUCUGGUUUCUCUUCAAUUGCUGGUUGUUCAGGAAUUUUCUCAACAGCUGGUUCUUCUGGCUUCUCUAAAACCAUUGAUUCUUCAGCUUUCUCUUCAAUUGAUGGUUCUUCAUGGUUUUUUUCAACUAUUGGUUCUUCAGUUUUUUCCUCAACGGAUGCAUAGUCAACAAUAUCAUUGUUGGUAUUGCUUGGAAUUGCAUCGUCUGUCAUGUCCUUUGAGUUUACUUUUGGCAUAUUCUACAAUAAAGUUUCAUGUAGUCUUUCAAUAGAUAAACAGAUGUAAAUUUGUUGCAACAUAUAAAGCUAAUAUGGUGGAUAAACUUUGUGACAGUGUUUAAUCCUCACCUUCUCCCGAAGAUCUUCCGCUUUAAGUUCCUCCUCUUCAAUUGCUGUUUUUUCAUCUUUCGUUUCAACAACUAGUUCUUCAGGUGCCUCUUCAGCCGUUGAUUCUUCAGGUUUUUCUUCAAGUGCCAGCUCUUCAGGUGUUUCCUCCUUUGCCAUCUCUUCAGGUGUUUCCUCCUUUGCCAGCUCUUCAGGUGUUUCUUUAGCUGCUGGUUCUUCAGGUUUCUCUUCAGCCGCCAGUUCUUGAGGUAUCUCCUUUUCUACUUCAGAUUUCUCCUCAACUGUUGGUUCUUCAGGUUUCUCUUCAUUAACUGGUUCUUUGGGUUUUUCUUCAACAGCCGAAUCUUCAGGAUUUUCCUCAAUGUCUGGAAAGUGAGCAACAUCUUUAUUGGUAUUGCAUGCAAUUUCACUGUCAGUUUUGUCGUUCAAGUCUACAAUUAGCAUAUUCUGCAAAAAGAAUUUGAUGUUUCAUUUAGCCUAUUAAUAAAGAAGCAGAUGUGAAUAACAUUACAUGCAUAACUUACAAAAUGGAUAAACUUUGUGAUGGUCCUUGACCCUUACCUUUCCAGGCUUCUCCUCUUCAACGGCCAGUUCUUGUUUCUCUUCAAAUGCUAGUUCCCUGGGUGUUUCUUCCUGUAUUGGUUCUUCAUGUGCUUCUUCAGGUACUGGUUUUUCAGGUUUCUCCUCAAUUGUUGGUUCUUCGAUUGUCUCCUCAACAGAUGGUUCUUCAAGGUUCUCUCCCGUUGUUGAGUCUUCUGGUUUCUCUUCAAUUGCUGGUUGUUCAGAAAUUUUCUCAACAGCUGGUUCUUCUGGCUUCUCCAAAACCAUUGAUUCUUCAGCUUUCUCUUCAAUUAAAGGUUCUUCAUGGUUUUUUUCAACUACUGUUUCUUCAGUUUUUUCCUCAACGGAUGCAUAGUCAACAACAUCAUUGUUGGUAUUGCUUGGAAUUGCAUCGUCUGUCAUGUCCUUUGAGCUUACUUUUGGCAUAUUCUGCAAUAAAGUUUCAUGUAGUCUUUCAAUAGAUAAACAGAUGUAAAUUUGUUGCACAUAUAAAGCCAAUAUGGUGGAUACACUUUGUGACAGUGUUUAAUCCUCACCUUCUCCUGAAGAUCUUCCGCUUCAAGUUCUUCCUCUUCAAUUGCUGUUUUUUCAUCUCUCUCUUCAACAACUUGUUCUUCAGGUGCCUCUUCAGCCGUUGAUUCUUCAGGUUUCUCUUCAAGCACUAGUUCUUCAGGUGUUUCCUCCUUUGCCAGCUCUUCAGGUGUUUCUUUAGCUGCCAGUUCUUCAGGUUUCUCUUCAGCUGCCGAUUCUUGAGGUAUUUCCUUUACCUGUACUUUAGAUUUCUCCUCAAAUGUUGGUUCUUCAGGUUUCUCCUUAACCGCAGGUACAUCAGGUUUCUCUUCAGCUGCUGGUUUUUGAGGUUUCUCCUCUACUUGUACCUCGGAUUUCUCCUCAACCAUCGGUUCUUCAGGUUUCUCCUCAACCUCUGGUACGUCAGGUUUCUCUUCAUUAACAAGUUCUUCACUUUUUUCUUCAAUAGUUGAUUCUUCAGGAUUUUCCUUAGUGUCUGGAGAGUAAGCAACAUCAUUAUUGGUAUUGCAUGGAAUUUCACUGCCAGUUGUGUCGUUCGACUCUACCAUUGGCAUAUUCUGCAGAAAGAAUUUAAUGUUUCACUUUGCCUUUCAAUAAAGAAGCCGAUGUAAAUCAGAGGACAUACAUAACUAAAAAAGAUGGAUUAACUUUGUGAUAGUGUUUGACUCUUACCUUUUCGAAAAGAGUUAUCUUUUCAGGUUUCUCCUCUUCAACUGUUGGUUCUUCAUGUUUCUCUUCAAAUGCUAGUUCCUCAGGUGUUUCUUCCUGUAUUGGUUCCUCAGGUGUUUCUUCUUCUGUUACUUGCUUUUCAGGUUUCUCCUCAAUUGUUGGUUCUUUGAUUGUCUCCCCAAUCGAUGGUUCUUCAAGCUUUCCCCCCCCUGUUGGUUUUUCAGGUUUCUCUUCAAUUUUCGGUUGUUCAGGUAUUUUCUCAACUGCCGGUUCUUCUGCCUUCUCCAACACCAUUGAUUCUUCAGAUUCCUCUUCAAUUGAUGAUUCUUCAUGGGUUUUUUUAACUACUGACUCUUCUGUGUUUUCCUCAACUGAUGCAUAAUCAGCAAUGUCGUUGUCGGUAUUGCUUGGAAUUGCAUUGUCUAUCUUGUCCUUUGAGUUUAAUUUUGGCAUAUUCUGCAAUAAAGUUUCAUGUAGUCUUUCAAUAGAUAAACAGAUGUAAAUUUGUUGCACUCAUAAAGCUAAUAUGAUGGAUAAAAUUUGUGACAGUGUUUAAUCCUCACCUUCUCCUGAAAAACUUCUGUUUCAAGUUCCUCCUCUUCAAUUGCUGCUUUUUCAUCUUUCUUCUCUACAACUAAUUCUUCAGGUUCCUCCUCAACGGUUGAUUCUUCAGGCUUUUCUUCAAGUACUAGUUCUUCAGGUGUUUCCUCCUUUGCUAGCUCUUCAGGUGUUCCUUUAGCUGCCGGUUCUUCUGGCUUCUCUUCAGCCUCCGGUUUUUGAGAUAUCUCCUCUACUUGAACUUUAGAUUUCUCAUUAAUUGUUGGUUCUUCAGGUUUCACCUCAACCGCUGGUACAUCAGAUUUCUCCUCAUUAACUGGUUCUUCAGGUUUUUCUUCAACAGCCAAUUCUUCAGGAAUUUCCUCAAUGUCUGGAAAGUGAACAACAUUAUUCUUCGUAUUGCAUGGAAUUUCACUGCCACUGUUGUCGUUCGAGUCUAUAAUUAGCAUAUUCUGCAUAAAGAAUUCAAUGUUUUACUUAGCCUUUCAAUAAAGAAGCAGGUGUGAAUCACAAUACAUGCAUAUCUAACAAAAUGGAUAAACUUUGUGAUAGUGCUUGGCCCUUACCUUUUCUAAAAGAGUUUCCUUUUCAGGUUUCUCCUCUUCGAUGGCUGGUUCUUCAUGUUUCUCUUCAAAUGGUAGUUCAUUUGGUGUUUCUUCUCGUGUUGGUUCUUCAGGUGCUUCCUCAGUUACUGGUUUUACAGGUUUCUCUUCAACUGUUAGUUCUUCGAGUGUCUCCUCCAUCGAUGGUUCCUCAAGUUUCUCUCUUGCUGCUGGUUUUUCAGAUUUAUCUUCAACUAUCGGUUGUUCAGGUUUAUUCUCAAUCGCUGGUUCUGCAGGCUUCUCCGAAACCGCUGAUUCUUCAGAUUUCUCUUCAAUUGGUGAUUCUUCGUGUUUUUUUUCAACUACGGGUUCUUCAGUUUUUUCCUCAACUGAUGCAUAAUCAGCACUAUCAUUGUUGGUAUUGCAUGGAGUUGCAUUUUCUGUCUUGUUCUUUGAGCCUACAAUUGGUGAAUUCUGCAAAAAAUUUAAAAUUUCAUUUAGUCUUUAAAUAGAUAAACAGAUGUAAAUUCAUUGCACAUAUAAAGCUAAUAUGAUAGAUAAACUUUGUGACAGUGUUUAAUCUUCACCUUCUCCUGAAGAGCUUCCAUUUCUAGUUCCUCCUCUUCACUUGCUGGUUUUUCAUCUUUCUCUUCAACAACUAGUUCUUCAGGUGUCUUUAUAGUCUUUGAUUCUUCAGGUGCUUCUUUAUCUGCCCGUUCUUCAGGUUUCUCUUCAGCCACCGGUUCUUGAGGUAUAUUCUCUUGUACUUCAGAUCUCUCCUCAAUUAUUGGUUCUGCAGGUUUCUCUUCAUUGUCUGGUUCUUUGGGUUUUUCUUCGACAGCCAAUUCUUCAAGAUGAUUUUCCUCAAUGUCUGGAAAGUGAGCAACAUCAUUAUUGGUAUUGCAUGGAAUUUCACUGUCAGUUUUGUCGUUCAAGUCUACAAUUAGCACAUUCUGCAAAAAGAAUUUAAUGUUUCACUUAGCCUUGCAACAAAAAAGCAGAUGUGAACAACAAUAUGUGCAUAACUAACAAAAUGGAUAAAUUUUGUGAUAGUGCUUACCUUUUCAGGUUUCUCCUCUUCAACCGCUGGCUCUUCAUAUUUCUCUGCAAGUGCUGGUUUUUCAGGCUUCUCUUCAACUGUCAGUUGUUCAGUUUUCUUAUCAAUGACCAGUUCUUCAAGAUUCUCCGAAACAACAGAUACUACAGAUUUAUUUUCAAGUGCAAGUUCUUCAUGUGUUUCCUCUCCUGCAAACUCUUCAGAUGUUACUUUUGAUGUCGGUGCUACAGGUUUCUCUUCAAGUGCUAGUUCUUCAUGUGUUUCCUCCCCUGCUAGCUCUUCAGUUUUUUCUUUCGAUGUUGGUUCUUCAGGUUCCUCUUUAACCUCUGGUACAUCAUGUUUCUUUUCAAUAACUAAUUCUUCAGGUUUUUCUUCAACUUCAACUGCUGGUUCUUCGAGUUUUUUCUCAAUUUCUGGAAAGUGAGCAGUAUUGUUGUUGGUAUUGCAUGGAAUUUCAUUAUCAGUUUUGUCCUUAGAGUCUACAACUAGCAAAUUCUGCAAGAAGUAUUUAAAGUUUCACUUAGUCUUUUGUAGAUAAGCAGAUGUGAAUUGUUACACUUACAUAACUAAUAGGAUGGAUAAACUUUAUCACAGUGCCUGACCCUCGCCUUAUCCAAAAGAGUUACCUUUUCAGAUUUCUCUUCAAAUGCUAGUUCAUUUGGUGUUUCUUCCCGUGUUGGUUCUUCAGGUGCUUCUUCAGUUACCCUUUUUUCUGGUUUAUCUUCAACUGUUGGUUCUUCUAGUGUCUCCUCAAUCGAUGGUUCUUCAAGUUUCUCCCUUGGUGCUAGUUUUUCAGAUUUAUCUUCAACUGUUGGUUGUUCAUGUUUAUUCUCAACCGCUGAUUCUUCAGGCUUCUCCAAAACCGCUGAGUCUUCAGAUUUCUCUUCAAUUGUUGGUUCUUCAUGUUUUUUUUCAACUACUGGUUCUUCAGUUUUUUCCUCAACUGAUGCAUAAUCAGCAAUAUCUUUGCUGGUAUUGCAUGGAAUUGCAUUUUCUGUCUUGUUCAUUGGGUCUACUAUUGGCGAAUUCUGCAAAAAAAUUUAAAGUUUCUUUUAGUCUUUCAAUAGAUAAACAGAUGUAAAUUCGUUGCGCACAUAAAGCUAAUAUGAUGGAUAAACUUUGUGACUGUUUAAUCCUCACAUUCUCCUGAAGAGCUUCCAUUUCAGGUUUCUCCUCUUCAAUUGCUGGUUUUUCAUCAUUCUCUUCAACCACUAGUUCUUCAAGUGUAUCUUCAACCGUUGGUUUUUCAGGUUUCUCUUUAAGGGUUUCCUCCCCUGCUAGAUCUUCAGAUGUUUCUCUUUCUGUUGGUUCUUCAGGUUUCUCUUCAGCCUCUGGUUUCUUAAUUUUUUCCUCAAAUGAUUCUUCAGAUUUCUGCUCAACUGUUGGUAAAUCAGGUUUCUCUGGUUCCUCGGGUUUUUCUUCAACUGCUGGUUCCUCAACUUUUGCAAAGUUAGCAGCAUCGUUUAGGGUAUUGCAUGGAAAUUCUUUGUCAGUUUUGUUGUUUGAGUCUACAGCUAGCAUUUUCUGCUAGAGGAAUUUAAAGUUUCAGUUAGUCUUUAAGUAGAUAAGCAAAUAUGGACUGUUGCACAUACAUAACUAAGACAAUGGAUAAACUUUGUGCCAGUGCUUGAUCCUCACCUUUUCCAAGAGAGUUACCUUAUUAGGUUUCUCCUCUUUAACUGCUGGUUUUCCACCUUUCUCUUCAACUGCUAGUUGUUCUGUUGUUUCUUCAACUGUUCGUUCUUCAAGUUUUUCUUUGAAUUCUAAUUUUUCCGGUGUUUUUUCCCGUGUUGGUUCUUUUGGUGUUUCUUCAACUACUAGUUCUUCGAGUUUCUCUUCAGCUGCUGUUUUUUCAAAUUUCUCCUGAACCUCUGUUUCUUUCUCUUGCACAACUGGCUCUUCAGGGUUUUUUUCAACUUCUGGUUCUUCAUGUUUCUCUGUAACUGUUGGUUCUUUAUGUUUCUCUUCAAUCAUUGGUUCUUCAUGUUUUUCUUCAACUGCUAGUUCUUCAGAUUUUUCCUCUACUGCUGGAUGGUCAGCAACAUCUUGGUUUCCCUUCUCGAUUAAGUUGUUCCCGUGUUUCCCGCUCGUAUCUGAUUCAGCAUCAUCUAAUCUAGUUUCUUCGACAACGUUAAUAAAUGAGUUACCAAGCACAAAUUGUUCUUGUACCAUUCGACCGUCAUCCUUGUCCGAGCUAGUUGCUGAUUCUUUUGCAUUUUCUGGGUAGCCAUUUGAAGAAAUAUUUUCAGCUGGGCUGAUUUCUACUCUUUCAUCUUCUGUUUUCUCCCCCUGGUGGAAUGAACUCCCGAAGAUCUGUUCAUCUGACUUGUUUGGUGUAUCGACUGACACAUGGACCUCUAUUGAACUGCCAUUUUCUUCAACAGCCUUGGAAACUAAGGGUGAUGCAUAAAAAAUUUCACCCCCAGUGAUUCCAUAGUUACCUUUAGUCAGAUCCUUAAUACUUGCAACCUCUGAAGCUCUUUCAAAUUCAGAUUGUGAAUGGCCCUUCUCGUCUUUCUCCAUCUUCAGUUUGUCUGAUAUUGUAUACACUUCCCCUAGCAAAUUCUCUUUUUUUUCCUGCAUAAAGGAAUGAUUUUUGCUAUGUCGUUACAGAAUUAAGAGAAAAUGUGUUUAACUUAUCUAACAUUGGCAGAGCAGCACUGAAGUUACAACAGGAUAUUUGUCAGACUAACCCUGCGAUAUUGGAACUGCAUGUAUUAGCAAGAUCUCUGUUUUAUCAUUGAAAUGGAGUUACUAACCCAAGCCUAGUGGUAAAAGCCGCAGAUGUCCCAACAUAGGACCUAUUCAGUAAACCCAUGUUUGAGAAUCCCCCCAGAAAGAGUUGCUAUUACUCUUCCCUGUAUUAACCAAUUAAUCUCCAACAGGACCUAUUUACUCUUCGUAUAAUGUAUCAGAUAUUCUUCAUUGGCGUAAAGAGACUGCAACAGUAUGGAGGGAGGUGAUUAGGAAUGAUAUGGAGCAGUUACAGCUUACGGAGGACAUGACCCUUGAUAGGAAGGUGUGGAGGACGCGGAUUAGGGUAGAGGGUUAGGGGGUGGGAGUGCGUCGGUAUCAGUAGGGGAGCGUUCUUUUGUGUCUAGAGUUUCUUGUUCGUGGUGUUGUGGCUGUAGUAUUAUCUUGGGGCUAGCGGUGUUAGUUUAUUUUGCAUACCGUACUAGCUUAUAUGCACUUAUCUUUUGUGUUUGUUAUAUUGUUGGUUUAUUUUGCAUACCGUACUAGUUUACAUGUACUUAUCUUUUGUGUUUACUAUACUAUUAUCGGUCCUAAGCCGGGGUCUAUCGGAAACAACCUUUCUACCUCUCUACCUCACCUGAGGUAAUGGUAUGGUCUGCGUACACUCUACACUCCCUAGACCCCACUAUGUGGGAAUAUACUGGGUAUGUUGUUGUUGUUGUUGUUGGCGUAAAGAGACUGCAGUAUUAAACAAUAGGAAAAACAAUGCAGGAAUACUUCUACCUACAAUAUUUGAAGUUUGUGAAAAGUCGAUGAGAUACUGUUUAUUGCAUGUACAAGUGAUGUGUUAGUGGCUUCUAAAGAAAGAUAAAUUUUGAGUUAUCAGUUGGGUAAAUACAGAUUAGUUCGUCAGUUGGGGGCUUAAGUUAUUUACUUCUGAGAGUAUAUAUAUUAAUUACCAGUAGCAUGUUUCUAGAUUAGCUUGAUGUGACAAAGAAGUUAUAUAGAGAAUUUGAAGUGUUGGUGUCAAACAGUCAUGAUAAUCCAAUUACCUCUAACAUUUUCCGUUAAGUGUUUCUAAAAUAUGAGAAUAUUGAUUUGAAAUGUAUAUUUAUAAUUUCUCCAUGUAAGAACUUGAGUGGAACAAUUCUCCUUCCAGGCUAACUAGAUGUCGUCUCACACAAUUAAAAUGAGGAACACGUUGUUGUUCUAAGCUCAUGUUCGCUCCUCAAAACUAACACCUCAGACCAUACUAAACUUCAUUUCAGAAUAUGACAGCUAAUGUUAAAAUGAAGUAUUCACUUUCUCCUUGCUAAAGCUACCACAAUCUGUUAUGGAGUCGGGGCAAUACAAUUAACAAGAAAAUGAAUCUUUAGUUACACCCAAACUCAGCCUUUGUUUCCCUAUAGUUCUCUUUCGACCACAAGCUAUAAUUUUCUUUUAAUUAAACCAGUAUCUUUCAAUGCUAAUUUAUUUACGAAGAGUUUUUUUGAAAGUCAGAUUUCAUUAAUUCGUUUCUGUGCUAAUUUAAGUUUUCCCUAGGUAUUCUUUUUGUCAAUAUCUAUAUUCUAUAGUCUUUUGGAGAGGGUCAAGUUUUCAGUACUACAUUAUUAAAGGUGAGUAGUUGAGAAUUAAUAAUUGUGCUGAUUUGUUUCUGUGCCAUUUCUUUUUAGGCUAGCUUUGGAUGGCUUCAGGAGGAGUAGAGGUAGGCGAAAGAAAUACUGGAGGGAGGUAAUUAGGUAGGACAUGAAGUUGUUUCAGCUUACUGAGGACAUGACCCUAGACAGGAAGGUGUGGAGGUCGUGGAUUAGGGUAGAAGGCUAGUGUGAGUGGGUGGGUUGUGGCUAGGUGUUAGUAGAGUUUGGGUGUGAUAGGUGUCUUAGGUCUGUGAAUGUGUGUGACUACUACAUGGGUAUCCGUUUUCCUUAUUUCUUAUUACGUAUUGUUCGUUGUUCUCUUAUUUUCUUUUCUCGGAUAUCUAGUGUUAUUAUUUCUUACCUUUUAUUUUGUUAUGCUACCCAUCCAGUUUUAUAUUUCAUUACGAUCUUGGUAUAUUAUUCUAUAUCUUGAGCCGGGGGUCUAUCGGAAUCAACCUCUCUACUUCCUCGGAGGUAGCGGUAUGGACUGCGUACAUUUUACCCUCCCCAGACCUCACUUUGUGGGAAUACACUGGGACUGUUGUUGUUGUUGUUGUUGUAUUACCCCUCCAUACAUACACAUAUAUAGAAGUCAAGUUGCUAUUGCCUAAGAAGAAGAUCAACUAAAAUAUAGAACAUACAGCCAGGAACUUGUAUGUUAUCUCAGGAUCGAGUUUUUAUUGUAAAAUAAACAAUUUGAACCAGUUGAAUAUCUACUAAUUGUAGAAAUAACAUACAAGUUCCGAAAAUAGGAAACCUCUAUUAAAUGAUGGGCAAAUCUAAACAAAUUUUCUUUUUUCAUCGAAGACUGCAUGGCAGUAAUUUUAGAUGAAGACGGUAACCCUUAAUUCGGUUCUUUAGCGACCAUCUUUGUGGUUUGAAGAAAAUUGGUAAUGAUCUGGUAAAGUUAUUUCACUAGCAUACUUCAUAUUACACAGUUGUUUCAGAUAUGAUCUCUGAUCAUGCAGUGUCUUUUUUCUCAGAAAAAGGUCUUUUCACAUACAUGAAAGCAAUCUUGACUACUGAAAAAAAGAUGUAGAAGUAACUGUUGCGGCUAAUGGAAAUGAUAAACACGCAAAAUGAUGAAGUAUCAUGCUCACAUAAAGUAAAACAAGUGAGUUAACUUACGCUUUUGUUCUCUGGUAUUUCAGCUAUGUAUUCCAAUUCUCGUGAGCUGAUCGCUGAAUUGCUGUGUUUACGUUUUCUCAACCUCCCUAAAGACUAUCAGAGUGUGUUUUGUACAACUGAACUGGACUGAAAAUUCUCAUAGCUAUAAGUAGAGAUUCUCUAAGUAUGUCGAUGCAGGAUUACAAUAGUUAUAUAAUUAUUAAUUGAUGACCAUGUUGUUAAAGUAGAUAGAAAAUGACAAAUCCACUUGCUAAUCCUACUAAUAUUAUGAGUUGGAAAUAGACGUGGUCCUUUUGAAUGAUGAGUAGUCACAUGCCCCUCUAGUAUAGCUUUUCUAGUCAUCAAACAGUCAGAUAAUUGUUUCUAAUUUAUAACUGCAGGGAUUGUGCUGCUGACAAGAAGAAACUGCCACAAGAAUUUACUGUUCACUUCAUCCCAG